RNAcentral lists this ribosomal RNA (252 nucleotides) under uncultured bacterium. Its description in RNAcentral is "partial 16S ribosomal RNA". It matches the Rfam family "Bacterial small subunit ribosomal RNA", at positions 524 to 776 of the family's 1533-position model. The record is from RNAcentral.
UACAGAGGUCCCAAGCGUUGUUCGGAUUCACUGGGCGUAAAGGGUGCGUAGGUGGCCGGGCAAGUUUGAUGUGAAAGCUCGGAGCUUAACUCCGAAAUGGCAUUGAAUACUAUCUGGCUGGAGGGUCGGAGGGGAGACUGGAAUUCUCGGUGUAGCAGUGAAAUGCGUAGAUAUCGAGAGGAACACCAGUGGCGAAGGCGAGUCUCUGGACGGUACUGACGCUGAGACGCGAAAGCGUGGGGAGCGAACAGG